Molecule: ribosomal RNA, 450 nt
Filed under: uncultured bacterium
Lineage: Bacteria
Description: partial 16S ribosomal RNA
Rfam family: Bacterial small subunit ribosomal RNA
Source: RNAcentral
GUGGGGAAUAUUGGACAAUGGGCGAAAGCCUGAUCCAGCCAUGCCGCGUGUGUGAAGAAGGUCUUCGGAUUGUAAAGCACUUUAAGUUGGGAGGAAGGGUAGUAACUUAAUACGUUGCUACUUUGACGUUACCGACAGAAUAAGCACCGACUAACUUCGUGCCAGCAGCCGCGGUAAUACGAAUGGUGCAAGCGUUAAUCGGAAUUACUGGGCGUAAAGCGCGCGUAGGUGGUUCAGUAAGUUGGAAGUGAAAUCCCCGGGAUCAACCUGGGAACUGCUUUCAAAACUGCUGAGCUAGAGUACGGUAGAGGGUGGUGGAAUUUCCUGUGUAGCGGUGAAAUGCGUAGAUAUAGGAAGGAACACCAGUAGCGAAGGCGACCACCUGGACUGAUACUGACACUGAGGUGCGAAAGCGUGGGGAGCAAACAGGAUUAGAUACCCGAGUAGUCC